This 814-nucleotide small RNA is filed under the name uncultured Microdochium. RNAcentral's name for it is "eukaryotic LSU rRNA". The stretch from base 537 to 814 matches the Rfam family "Eukaryotic large subunit ribosomal RNA", at positions 1 to 281 of the family's 3401-position model. The record is from RNAcentral. Lineage: Eukaryota; Fungi; Ascomycota; Sordariomycetes; Xylariales.
CUUGGUCAUUUAGAGGAAGUAAAAGUCGUAAUAAGGUCUCCGUAGGUGAACCUGCGGAGGGAUCAUUACUGAGUUUUUAACUCUCCAAACCAUGUGAACUUACCACUGUUGCCUCGGUGGUCGGUGCUGGAAACAGUGCUGCCACCGGUGGACUACUAAACUCUUGUUAAUUUUUGUCAAAUCUGAAUCAAAACUAAGAAAUAAGUUAAAACUUUCAACAACGGAUCUCUUGGUUCUGGCAUCGAUGAAGAACGCAGCGAAAUGCGAUAAGUAAUGUGAAUUGCAGAAUUCAGUGAAUCAUCGAAUCUUUGAACGCACAUUGCGCCCAUUAGUAUUCUAGUGGGCAUGCCUGUUCGAGCGUCAUUUCAACCCUUAAGCCUAGCUUAGUGUUGGGAGACUGCCUAAUACGCAGCUCCUCAAAACCAGUGGCGGAGUCUGUUCGUGCUCUGAGCGUAGUAAUUUUUUAUCUCGCUUCUGCAAGCCGGCCAGACGACAGCCAUAAACCGCACCCUCUCGGGGGGCACUUUUUUAAUGGUUGACCUCGGAUCAGGUAGGAAUACCCGCUGAACUUAAGCAUAUCAAUAAGCGGAGGAAAAGAAACCAACAGGGAUUGCCCUAGUAACGGCGAGUGAAGCGGCAACAGCUCAAAUUUGAAAUCUGGCCUUCUGGUCCGAAUUGUAAUUUGUAGAGGAUGCUUUUGGUGCGGUGCCUCCCGAGUUCCCUGGAACGGGACGCCUUAGAGGGUGAGAGCCCCGUACGGUUGGACGCCUAGCCUCUUGUAAAGCUCCUUCGACGAGUCGAGUUGUUUGGGAAU